Molecule: long non-coding RNA, 435 nt
Organism: Myripristis murdjan (pinecone soldierfish)
Lineage: Eukaryota; Metazoa; Chordata; Actinopteri; Holocentriformes; Holocentridae
Exons: 4
Source: RefSeq, a predicted model, not a curated record
GGAACAUGGUUGCCCACCCCUGCUCUGUUGAGGAUCAGAAUGUUACUACGCACUAGCAAUCAGCAGGACCUUAAAAGCCCCAACAUAUGUUCUCAGCCUUCAGGCUCACACUGAAGAUUGCAAGAUUGAAGAUCAAAUUACAAGCUGCUGAUUAUGAAGAAUUAAUUUCUGAAGUGAGAGGGAAAUUCUCCAUCCUUGUGGACAAGAUUUAUGUGGAAGAUGAUUCGGGAACCGAGGUGGAUGAAUCUGUGUUGAAUUUGUUGAACAUUUCCACGCCUGUCUUGCUGACAUGGUGCAUAAUGUUUCAGUUGUUAGACCUGAUGACCUGAGAUACUAUAAACCCUUUGAUAUUCAAAUGUCUUACGGUGCAGAUUCUAACUGUUGUUGUGCCACACAGUUGCAUUAUUUAAGUUAUGUAGUUAUUUUUCAUCUGUA